Molecule: ribosomal RNA, 309 nt
Filed under: uncultured soil bacterium
Lineage: Bacteria
Description: bacterial SSU rRNA
Rfam family: Bacterial small subunit ribosomal RNA
Source: RNAcentral
AGAACGAACGCUGGCGGCAUGCCUAAUACAUGCAAGUCGAACGAACUCUUCGGAGUUAGUGGCGCACGGGUGCGUAACGCGUGGGAAUCUGCCCCUUGGUUCGGAAUAACAGUUGGAAACGACUGCUAAUACCGGAUGAUGACGAAAGUCCAAAGAUUUAUCGACCAAGGGAUGAGCCCGCGUAGGAUUAGCUAGUUGGUGAGGUAAAGGCUCACCAAGGCAACGAUCCUUAGCUGGUCUGAGAGGAUGAUCAGCCACACGUGGGACUGAGACACCGGCCCAGACCUCCGUACGGGAGCAGCAGGUAGG